CGGGAGCACUGCAUCCACAUUCCCCGCUGCGAGCAAACAGCGUACGGCACGACCAGUCUGUCUUCGGAGAAGUCGCGCGCGAAAUGGAACGGAACCAGAGGAAUGUCCGGACGCUACUUCGAAAACGUGGGUCGAAUGAUGCUUCUCGGUCGUUCACGAGCGGUUGAUUCGAUUCAAACCAUGUUUUCUUUCGAAUCGAACGAUGUUGUUUGACUGCGGCUGACGCCCGGGUUGAUGCGAACCGGUUUCUGGGUCGAGAGGAUUUCGGUUCCUCGCGUUUCGGGAAGCUCUUCUCGAGAAGCCAUGGCAGCUCCCCACCCUCUCUCGCCGCCCUCGGCGGCACCAGAAGCUUCUCAUUCGACAGCGCUUCCCAAAUCGUCCGGCUCUGCAGAUCGCGGGCGCUCCUCGACGCGUUCCGGCUCCUGAACGCCACGGACCCUUCCGGCGUGAGGAAUAAGCCCGCCCUCUACGGCUCCCUCUUGCAGACGUGCGCCGCCGCGGCCGUCUCGUUCGGCCCGGGUCUCCAAAUUCAUGCUCGCGUCAUCAAGUCCGGCCUCGACACCGAUGGGUUCGUGGGGAAAAAAAUAGUCGGUGUUAACGUCCUUUUUCUGUCCUGCUUUUUGGAGAACGGCCCACGGGGUCAGUGCCAGAUCCAGGCUUUUGUCCAGUAGGGAAGCCAGAUUCUUGUUCUUCGUCUUCCUCUUCUGCUGGUACGACAGCGACCGCGCACGAAAUCUCGUCUGUUCCUAUCAAAGUUUCAAUCUUUCGUGCGCAGCUUGGGUUCCGGUGAGCGCGAGAGAUGGCUAUCUGGAUUAAUAUUUGCUUCCAUGGCUUUUCGCAUUGAUGGCGGGGGCUCGAGGGCUUUUCUACGACUGGGAAGUGAAGCAAGAUAUGAUAGGCUCCUACAAGGAGCAGGUUAUCACCAUCAAUGGACGGCACCCCAGCCCGACCAUCCAGGCUCAUCAGGGAGACAGUUUUCGUCAGAGCUACCAACAGGUUGAGCGAGAAUGUCGCGAUCCAUUGGCACAACACCCAACAGAUUCAAAGUCUAGGGAGCGAUGGAACAGGGGAUGUCGUUCCAAGGCCCAUUUUGCCCCGGAAAAACUUUCACCUAUGUUUUCAUCGUGCAUCAGUACGACUCCUAUUACACAAUGCAAACGGUGGCUGGAGCCUGGACUGCAUGGGUUGAUCGAUGUUUUGCCUCCGUAGGGCAUGGCCAAGCCAUUCGCUCAAGAUAAUCACAAGAGCAUCAUCCUCAAUGACCGGUACUGCUAUUAUGAUUUGGCGACAGAGCCUGAGGUGAUUAAUUUAAUUUGAUUGCCUCAAUUAUGAAGAACUUAAACAACAGUUUUGCUCGUUUGUCGCCUUCGUUUCGUUCUCUUUUUGUUGCUUGGAUUGCAGUCCCUGCUGAUUCCCAGGACGGCUCGUAAUGCCAUCAAUCCUGAAAAUUUGCACUGGAGGGUCAUCCUUGGUAAAACGUAUCACCUCGAUAUUUUGAGUGUGACCACUCAUUGUACUCUCAGCUUUCAGAUUAAGGGUCACAACCUUACUGUUGUAGAAGCGGAUGGGCACUAUGUAGAGCCAUUUGUGAACCAAAGCCUGAUCAUCUACUCGGGUAAGACAUACUCUGUCAAGAUCAAAGCCAGUCAAGAUCCGUUGAGAAAUUACUUGAUUACGAGCGACAUUGUUGGCCAGAACACCACUGCCACAACCCCUCUCGGUCUGGCCGUGCUCAACUACUCCCCAUCCGCUGGCCCGAUUCGGAAUGGCGUCACACGGCAGUCAGUUCAGAGCCUGGGGAACAAAGCCUGCCAAGGUAAUAUAUGUGACAGGACUAAUGUCUUAGUUAGAGAGGCUGUUUUGAUCCCUUGUUUGAAAUUUGAGGUUAUGUUUCCCUAGAGGAUAUAAGUCCGUGGAUAUUUAUUAUCUUUCAAGCAAAAGUUCGCUCUUUUUCUUGAAUCUUUGAGAAGUAUGAUUAUUUUCUCCUGAGGAUAUAAAUUGUAUUUUUUUUUUGUUUAUUAGCUUUUUAACAGCAAUUAUUGAGGAACAUGCUGGUUAGUGUCUUAUUCAGUUGAAUUUGAUGUUCUAGUCGAGUGUUAAAUUGGCUUUCACUAUCCAAGUCAGAGGCGAUUCUAGUCAUGUCUCAGCAUUUUUCCUAUGAUGGCAUCGGAUAGUGUCUUGCAUGGUUAAUGACUGAUCGAGCAAUUUGUCAUAAGUCUCUUGGCUUUAGUCCCCUGCACACAAAAAGAUAAUGU
Molecule: long non-coding RNA, 2255 nt
Organism: Eucalyptus grandis
Lineage: Eukaryota; Viridiplantae; Streptophyta; Magnoliopsida; Myrtales; Myrtaceae
Exons: 4
Source: RefSeq, a predicted model, not a curated record